GAGCUCACUUUGCCAGUACAGACAUUAAAAUUGGAACAGUACAGGUGAGACGAGCAUGGCCCCUAUGCAAGGAUGACAUGCAAAUUCAUGAAGCAUUCCAUAGUUCC
Small nuclear RNA from Rhinolophus ferrumequinum (greater horseshoe bat), 107 nucleotides. The record is from Ensembl. NCBI's taxonomy places the organism in Eukaryota, Metazoa, Chordata, Mammalia, Chiroptera, Rhinolophidae.